This 1262-nucleotide long non-coding RNA is filed under the name Citrus sinensis (sweet orange). RNAcentral describes it as "long non-coding RNA (CSIN_LNC000638)". Lineage: Eukaryota; Viridiplantae; Streptophyta; Magnoliopsida; Sapindales; Rutaceae. The record is from RNAcentral.
GGAAGAAAUCAAUAAAGAGUUUGAAGAGAAGAAGCCUGAGCUCCAACCUAAAGUGGUCGAAAUCUAUGAAGCUUCUUCAGCUGAAAUCAAGGUCUCUACAUGAAUGAACAUACCAAAUCUGUUAUAGCUACAAAUGUCAGAGAGAAUUAAAAAGAUCCAAUUCAUGCAAGUUUUUAUUUAUUAAUUUAACCUUUUUUUUUUUUUUUGGCUUUGGCUUUGGCGUUUAAAUGAAAAUACAGACCCUGGUCAAGGAUCGCAAGGAGGAUGGACUUAAGAAGCACUCCACUGCUGUGCACAAGUUACUUGAAGAACUCGUUAAAAUCGGUAAAAUAGUUCUAUCACAUAUGGUAUUAUUAAUUAAAGUUAAGGUCAUGUGUUAAAAUCACAUGAGAAUUUUAUUAACAUAUAUGUAUGUGUGUAUAUACAGAGUUUCCAGGAUCAAAAGCAGUAAGUGAAGCAUCGUCAAAGUUUGGGGCAGCCUCUGUUCCGGGGCCAGUUUUCUUCAUAUUUGAGAAGGUCUCAACGUUUAUUGUUACUGAAGAAAAAGCAGCAGAGCCAGCAACCGCGGCAGCAGGAGAAGAAACAAAACCAGAACAAGAGACAACAAGUAGUAGUACCGCCGCAGUCACAGAGAAGGACGACGUAGUUGUUGAGGAAGAGAAGAAAGAAGAGGCCCCCGCCGGCCCUGAGAAAACUGAGCCGGCAGAAGCCGCCGCCGCCCCAGCCCCAACUGAGCCUCUUCCUGCCGCCGCCAAGGAGGACCAACCAGCUGCUGCAGAGCCACCAAAGCCUUGAGAACAUGCAUCAACUGACAAGACAAAUUCAUAUCCAUAUAUACAUAGAUAUAUAUUUCAUAUUCAUCAAGUGAAAGUGAAGUAAUAAUGUUAAUAUUUUGUGUACGUAAAAGUCUUGUAAAAUGCAAAACAUGAUUUGUUAUUCUUUCUUUUUCCUCUAUAUGCGCAUGUAUAUCACCUACUUGUUUUUUUUUCCCUUGUAUUAUUUUGUUUUACAGUCUUUAUUUUUACUUUCUUUAUUAUUAUUAUUUUUUGUAUUUGUGAAUUAUUAUUAUUUGUAAUAUUUAAUUUUUACAAUACAGGGAUUAAUGUGGUGGGUGGAGAUACCCUUAACGCUUUAGUUGCUUUCAUUGAUUUGAUUGUAUGUGUUUUCCUCAUGGAGAUCAUUUAAAAAGAGAUAGGCAAAAAAAAAAAGAAAAAAGAAUAUUGAUGAUGAGAAGUUAUUUGUUUAUAAUUAAUAAUUCCAAG